This 468-nucleotide ribosomal RNA is filed under the name uncultured bacterium. RNAcentral describes it as "partial 16S ribosomal RNA". It matches the Rfam family "Bacterial small subunit ribosomal RNA", at positions 28 to 507 of the family's 1533-position model. The record is from RNAcentral.
GACGAACGCUGGCGGCGUGCUUAACACAUGCAAGUCGAACGGAAAGGCCCUUCUUUUGUGGGGUGCUCGAGUGGCGAACGGGUGAGUAACACGUGAGUAACCUGCCCUUGACUUUUGUAUUACUUCAGGAAACUGGGGCUAAUCCCGGAUAGGAGCUCCUGCUUCUUUGUGGGGGUUGGACUGUUUCGGCGGUUGGGGAUGGACUCGCGGCUUAUCAGCUUGUUGGUGGGGUAGUGGCUUACCAAGGCUUUGACGGGUAGCCGGCCUGAGAGGGUGACAGGCAAGAUUGGGACUGAGAUACGGCGCAGACGCGUACGGGAGGGAGCAGUGGGGAAUAGUGCACAAUGGGCGGAAGCCUGAUGCAGCAACGCCGCGUGCGGGAUGAAGGCCUUCGGGUUGUAAACCGCUUUCGCCUGUGACGAAGCGUGAGUGACGGUAAUGGGUAAAGAAGCACCGGCUAACUACGUG